GUGAGGAAUAUUGGUCAAUGGGCGGGAGCCUGAACCAGCCAAGUCGCGUGAAGGAAGAAGGAUCUAUGGUUCGUAAACUUCUUUUGCAGGGGAAUAAAGUGCAGGACGUGUCCUGUUUUGUAUGUACCCUGAGAAUAAGGAUCGGCUAACUCCGUGCCAGCAGCCGCGGUAAUACGGAGGAUCCGAGCGUUAUCCGGAUUUAUUGGGUUUAAAGGGUGCGUAGGUGGUUUGAUACGUCAGCGGUGAAAGUUUGCAGCUUAACUGUAAAAAUGCCGUUGAAACUGUCGGACUUGAGUGUAAAUGAGGUAGGCGGAAUGCGUGGUGUAGCGGUGAAAUGCAUAGAUAUCACGCAGAACUCCGAUUGCGAAGGCAGCUUACUAAGCUACAACUGACACUGAAGCACGAAAGCGUGGGGAUCAAACAGGAUUAGAAACCCGAGUAGUCC
RNAcentral lists this ribosomal RNA (445 nucleotides) under uncultured bacterium. RNAcentral's name for it is "partial 16S ribosomal RNA". It matches the Rfam family "Bacterial small subunit ribosomal RNA", at positions 354 to 796 of the family's 1533-position model. The record is from RNAcentral.